Molecule: ribosomal RNA, 206 nt
Filed under: uncultured bacterium
Lineage: Bacteria
Description: partial 16S ribosomal RNA
Rfam family: Bacterial small subunit ribosomal RNA
Source: RNAcentral
CUGAUGUGAAAAUGCGGGGCUCAACUCCGUAUUUGCGUUGGAAACUGUUAGACUAGAGUUUUGGAGAGGUAGGCGGAACUACAAGUGUAGAGGUGAAAAUUCGUAGAGAUUUGUAGGAAUGCCGAUGACGAAGGUAGCUUACUGGACAAAUACUGACGCUGAAGCGCGAAAGCUAGGGGAGCAAACAGGAUUAGAUACCCUGGUAG